RNAcentral lists this long non-coding RNA (3288 nucleotides) under Homo sapiens (human). RNAcentral describes it as "HSALNT0337894". The record is from RNAcentral. Lineage: Eukaryota; Metazoa; Chordata; Mammalia; Primates; Hominidae.
UGAGAAUAUUGGUUGUGUCUUAGCUCAGGCUGCUAUAACAAAAUGCCAUAAGCUGGAUAACUUAACAACAGAAAUUUAUUUCUCACAGUAUUUCUCUGAAAGUUGAAGUCUGAGAUCAAGGUGCCAGUAUGGUUGGGUUCUGGUGAGGGCCCUCUUUUAGGCUGCAGACUACUGAUAUCUCGUUUUAUCCCCACAGGAUGGAAAGAGAGCAGGAGAGUAAUCUGGGGGUCCCUUUUUUAAGGGCACUAAUCUCAUUCAUGAGGCCUCCACCGUCAUUGUCUAAUGACCCCGUCCAUAGGCCCCACCUCUUAAUAUCACCCUGAGAUUAGAUUUCAACAUAUGUGUUUGAGGAGGACACACACAUUCAGUAUUUAACAUUCUGCUCCUGGCCCUCCACAAUUCAUGUCUUCACAUGCAGAAUACAUUAUUUCCAUCCCAGUAGCCUCAAAAGUCUUAACUUGUUCUAGCAUUGGUUCUCAAGUCUGAAGUCCAAAGUCUUAUCUAACUAUCAUCUAAAUCAGAUAUGAGUGAUUCUUAAGGUAUCAUUCAUUCAGAGACAGAACUCCUCUCCAGCUAUGAACAUGUAAAACCAACCUAAUAAGUUAUGUGCUUCCAAACUACAGUAGUGGGACAGAUGUAGAAUAGAUAUCCCCAUUUCAGAAGCAAAGGAAUAGGAAAGAAGAAAAGAGUGAUAGCUUUUAAGUAAGUCCAGAACCUAGCAAGUCAAACUCCAUAUCUCAGGGCUGGAGAAUAAUCCUCUGGUGCUUGAUGCUGUGCACUCCAGGCCCACUGGGGGCAGAGGUCCCAUUUUCCAGACCCAGUAGAGUUGAGAUAUUGCUCUGCACCUCUGCCAAAUUGGGAUCUCAAUCCCAGGGUUCUGCUGGGCAGGCACCAAACCUCCACAGCUCCUCCCAGUCCUACCCCCAUGCCUUUGAUUGGAGGUAAUCUAACUUGUUGAAAAUCAGGCAAUUCUUCCUCCACCCUUUGCAACAUAGGAUGAAGCCCUGAUGAUCUCUGAAUCAUUUUUUUGUAGUCAUUCUUCCCUUGUCUUUAAGAAUAGAUCAUGUUUGCAGCUGAAAAGUUUUAUGGUCUUCCCUGUAAAAUCCAAAAAAUCUGACAACAUUUCUUCAUUCCUUCCCAUUCAGUUCAAACUGGCAGUUUUCCUGCUGAGGUAGCUAAUUCAGUCCAUGCUUCACACCAUACUAAUCUCCUUAUCAAAUGGUGGCUUGGUAAUACUCUUAGUGUUCUCUUUUAAACAUGCUUUCUCAUUUUGUGCAAUAUGGAUUGGCUGAGAAUUUUCCAAGCUCAUAAGUUCUAGUUUCUUGUUGUUUGAUAAGUCCCUCUUCACAUCAUUUCUCUCUUCUCACAUUUUACUAAACAGUCAGGAGGAACAAAGCCGUGCCUUCAGUACUUAGCUGAGAAAUAUCCUCAGCUAAAUAGCCAACUUCAUUGCUCACAAGUCCCAACUUCCACAAAACACUAAUAAUAUGAACACAAUUCACCCAAGUUGUUGGCCGCUUAAUAACAAGGAUUGCCUGUUCUCCAUUGCACAAGAUGGAGAAAAGGACAGUGAAAUUUAGUGUUAAUGAAGAUAAUAACAUGUUUUUACUUCAGUCUGAGAAUUCAUCAAAAUGGCCUUUACUAUCCAUAUUUCUACUAACAUUCAGUCCAUGAUUACAUAUGUAUUCUUUAAGAAGAUGGAAGCUUUCUCUACAGCUCUUCUCUUCCCUUUCUGAGCCCUAACCAAAUCACCUUUAAAAGUCCCUUCAUGACAAUCUUGGCUUCUUCUAGAUGUACUUCACAACUCUUGGUUAGUUCCAAAGCUGCUUUCACAUAUUUAGGUAUUUGUUAUAGCAGCACUCCACUUCUCAGUACCAAUUUCUCUCUUAGUUUGGGCUGCUAUAAUAAAAUACCAUAUGUAGGGUGGCUUAUCAAUAACAGACAUUUAUUUCUCACAGUUCUGGGGGCUGGAAAGUUCAAGAUCAAGGUGAUUGCCUAUUUGGUGUCUGGUGAGGGCCUGCUGCCUGGUUGUAGAUGACUAUCUUCUUUCCGUGUCCUCACAUGGAGAGAAGAAGAACCAACUCUCUGUCCUCUUCCUAUAAGAGCACUAAUCCCAUUCAUGAAGGCUCUGCUCUUGUGACCUAAUUACCUCUGAAAGGCCCCACCUCCAAAUAUCAUUAUAUUUGGCCCCAUCUCCAAAUAUCAUUACAUUUGGGAUUACAUUUCAACAUAUGAAUUUGAGGGGGACAUAAACAUUCAGUCCAUAACAGGUUGUUUCCAAUUUAAGGUGUUAAAUAUACUGUAAUUAGUGUCUUCAAAUAAAGGUUUGAGUUUCUCCAGUGUAUAAACAUAAAAAUGGAAUUUGUCAUAGGUUAUGUGUAUUGUGAACUACAUGUAGUCAAUAUUGUUCUUCAAAGUGAUUUCUCAAUGUAUAUUCCUACCAUUAGUGUGAGGAGUUUUUAAUUUACCCAAGUACUCUUCCAAAAUUGAUAUUGUAUGACUUUUUAACAGUGGAAAAUUUGAAUGUGGAAUACUUUUUUAUCCACAUUUCUCUGAUUAAUAGUUCUGAGCAUCUAUUCAUUUAAUUUGGAGUAUUUAUAUUUUCCUCUUUUAUGACCCGCCUGCAAAUUUGUUUGCCAAUUUUUCUAUUAGGUUUUUAUGUUGUUAAAUUGCAAUGUGUUACUUAUUAUUACGGAUAAUAUUCCUUUGUAUCUUCCAGUAUGAUUCUCUAUUUUUCUUGUUUCUAUUUUAUUGUUUCCUUAUUUGCUCAAAACUUUUUAAUAAAUUAAACUAUAUAAAAAAAAGCUUUUCCUUUUGAGCUUGAUCUUAUAGUAAGAAAUCCUUUUCUGCUCUGAAGCUAUAGUCUACGUUUUUAUGACAGUUUUAGAAUUUGUAACAUCUAUUUUUGUAUUCAUGUUUUGAGUUUAUUUUUGCAUGUAUUAUCACUUGGAGGUGUAAUUUUUUAUAUGUAAGUGCAAAUAUCUCAACACCAUUUUUGAGUAGUCUGUCAUUCUUGAAUGAUAAAGUUGCAUACUCUAAUUUAAGCCAGGACUGCAUAAAUGCCUGAAGGUUACUCAGCUCUCUGAGAGUUUUAUUAUUUUGAUCUACAUAUCUGUUCCCAUGCCAUUGCCUAAUUAUUAUGACUUCUAUAUUAUUGAUAGAACAAACACCCCCACUUAUUUUUAUUUUCAGACAUGUCUUCAGUCUUCCAUGUAAGUUUUAGAAUUCAUUUGUUAAGUUCCAUGAAUGAUUGAAUUAGAAUUUUUACUGUGAUCACAUUGAAUUUAU